AUUGAACGCUGGCGGCAUGCCUUACACAUGCAAGUCGAACGGUAACAGGUCUUCGGAUGCUGACGAGUGGCGAACGGGUGAGUAAUACAUCGGAACGUGCCCGAUCGUGGGGGAUAACGAGGCGAAAGCUUUGCUAAUACCGCAUACGAUCUACGGAUGAAAGCGGGGGAUCUUCGGACCUCGCGCGGACGGAGCGGCCGAUGGCAGAUUAGGUAGUUGGUGGGAUAAAAGCUUACCAAGCCGACGAUCUGUAGCUGGUCUGAGAGGAUGAUCAGCCACACUGGGACUGAGACACGGCCCAGACUCCUACGGGAGGCAGCAGUGGGGAAUUUUGGACAAUGGGCGAAAGCCUGAUCCAGCCAUGCCGCGUGCAGGAUGAAGGCCUUCGGGGUGUAAACUGCUUUUGUACGGAACGAAAAGCCUCUUUCUAAUAAAGAGGGGUCAUGACGGUACCGUAAGAAUAAGCACCGGCUAACUACGUG
RNAcentral lists this ribosomal RNA (482 nucleotides) under uncultured bacterium. RNAcentral's name for it is "partial 16S ribosomal RNA". It matches the Rfam family "Bacterial small subunit ribosomal RNA", at positions 30 to 507 of the family's 1533-position model. The record is from RNAcentral.